GCCCCCUGAUGACCCCAUGCGUGUCACAUGACCCCCUGGGGGGGGGUCCCAGCCCUGCGUUCUGCUCGGCCAAAGCCCCCCCCCCCAAAUGGGAGUGAUCACAGCAAUGAGGCUGAGGGC
Molecule: small nucleolar RNA, 120 nt
Organism: Coturnix japonica (Japanese quail)
Lineage: Eukaryota; Metazoa; Chordata; Aves; Galliformes; Phasianidae
Product: small nucleolar RNA SNORD10
Source: RefSeq, a predicted model, not a curated record